ACACCCCAGCUCCCCUGUGAUUGCUCUAUCCUUCAGGUGCUCUGGUAGGGCACUAGAGUUUACUCUCUGUAAAACAUGUUGGCUAUGUGGAAAAAGGUGUAUUUGCAAGGGCAAAGAGGAGCUGAGUUCUAGGAAUUUCUCUGUGUAGUCCACCUAUUCCAAACUGAUGAGCUUCAAGAAGAGGGCUUGCUUGAGAAGCCUCAGCCUGUUGGCUACACAGUAGAGAGGAAGGACUUCACUGCUUAGAAGAGCAAUGGCACUCAGGCCCUUGCCCAACUCUUUGUCUCCCUGGAUACAAUGCCAGCAGCCACUUGGAUCACUCAGACUUACAAACUCCACCUACCAGAAUUUCCUUACACGCUGUAUGGAGUAAAGGCAAGGAGAAUCCCUUAGAACUAGGCUAGGAACUAUUAACAAAAGCAAUACACAGGUGGAUCAUCUAAAAGAAAGCAUCUGAACCAAAACCUACCUCCAAACAUAAGUUAGCUGCUUGCUUUUACGCAUACAUACAGUGCACUGCAGGAAGAAGAAAUGGGAGCAGACAAAUGUGAAUGUUGGGUUUGCAAAGAAGGAGGUUUUGUUGUCAACAAUGCCGAAAGAUAGAAGCACAUCUCACUGAAAUCCUUAGGUUGCACAACAACUCCUUCUAAAGCAAAUGACAAAAAUCUCAGUAACUUCAACUAUAAGUGACAAGCAGUAUGACACUGCUAGACUGUGCAUUAUUGAUUUUAUCACAACUUGUGGAUUGUGAAGUGCCAUCACCUCCUUAGACAAGCAUUGGAAAAGGAGACAUGUUCAGUUAUGUUGCAGGCAGUCUGCAGUGUGCUGAUGGCUGCCUGCUUCUGAGCUCUCCCUCACCAGCUGUGCAGCUGUGUGCCCCAGGAAAGUACUUUGAGAGCAAUCCAUUUUCCAGAAAUCGACUUUUCCAUUCUUCAGAGUUUAUCAUUAUACAUAAUUUUGAGCAGGAGUUCAUUUUGGACUGAGAACUUCCAAGUCACCACUUCAGGUGGCUUGGUUUGGUCUGGAAGAUGUCAGAAGAAUGCUUCCUAAACCAAGUGUCUGUAAUGUGAGGGCAGUUCCAGCUGAAGUAGUGCAGCUCUCACUGUGACAGGUGGGAUUCUUCUACCCAGUACAAACCCAUUCAGGCUCUGUAAAGUCAGUACGUGUAUCAUUCAUACCUACAAUACUCCCAAGAUUGAUGUAAUUUAUAUACAGACCAAUUUUACCUUGCAGCCCCAUUCUAUAAUGCUCUAAUGAUGUGAUGCUGCCCUGGAUGGAUACUUGUAAAUAAUCCUUAAAAAAUGAUAAAGAGUUUAUCAAAGGAUUAAGAGUAGUUUAAUAUUGGGCUUGAAAGUAGCAAGCUGCUGUUGUUUAAAUGUCAGUGAGUCUGUAGAACAGUACCUAUCUUUUUUCUAAUAGGCUUGUGCUAUUUUACAGGUGGAAGCUGGACAGUUUAAACUGAUGCAUAGAAAGAAGUAAAGAUAUUGCUUUGUUUUAAC
Molecule: long non-coding RNA, 1499 nt
Filed under: Gallus gallus (chicken)
Lineage: Eukaryota; Metazoa; Chordata; Aves; Galliformes; Phasianidae
Description: lncRNA (ENSGALG00000049428.2)
Source: RNAcentral